This is a long non-coding RNA of Lactuca sativa (garden lettuce), 709 nucleotides long. RefSeq lists it as uncharacterized. The record is from RefSeq and is a predicted model, not a curated record. Lineage: Eukaryota; Viridiplantae; Streptophyta; Magnoliopsida; Asterales; Asteraceae.
CCUAAAAACCUAUUAUUUUUACCCUAUGAUAAAAUCGAAUAAAUGUUAGUAAAAGGUAUUUGUGUCUGAUAGCUAAAACAAAAAAUGGCAAGAUUGUAAAUUAAACAAAACUUAAGCCGAUUUUUCUAUUAUAUGUCUAUUCUAUAACACCAUAGAUCUAGAUCUAAAUAAAAACUAUUUCAAACAACAAAAACCUUCUCAUCUUCUUCAACCAUUUGGAUGAACACCAACACCUCAAACGUCGUCGAUGGCAGCCAUCCACCGCCACACCGCCAGCGACGGCCCAUCCACCGCCACAUCUCAUCCUCCGCCUCGACCUCUGGUUACCGCAACAAUUUGCCACCGUCGUAACUUCUCUGACGAUUGAACACCUUUAGCAAACAAACAACAACUCCAAUGAUGCACCACCUCCAACUAUUGUAUCCGAUGAUCUAAUUUUUGAGGGAUGUUGGCAGUGUGGUUGGUGGUAGCAAUGGUUGAGUAUGGAUAUGUUGCAUUUAUCACUCAUCUUCUUUGAUGAUUUCAGAUAAGUUAUCAUCUUUUAUGAUUCAUGUAUAUGUUAUUCCUUGGAUGUUUGCUUUUGAAAUAUGACAUAAUUUCUGUAUGUAUUAAAUUGUGAAUGAUAUAUUAGAUUAUACUUGUAAAUGAGCUUUGAAUGUAUUGUAUUAAACUAUGUUUUUUUUUUGUAUUAAUCUAUGAAUUUUAUUGA